CACGUAAGGGGCGAGCGUUGUUCGGAUUUAUUGGGCGUAAAGGGCGUGUAGGCGGCUUUGAAAGCCUGGUGUGAAAGGCUACGGCUCAACUGUAGUUAUGCGCUGGGAACUGCGAGGCUGGAGUUCUGGAGGGGAAGCUGGAAUUCCUGGUGUAGGGGUGAAAUCUGUAGAUAUCAGGAAGAACACCGGUGGCGAAGGCGAGCUUCUGGCCAUGAACUGACGCUGAGACGCGAAAGCGUGGGGAG
This 245-nucleotide ribosomal RNA is filed under the name uncultured Spirochaetaceae bacterium. RNAcentral describes it as "partial 16S ribosomal RNA". It matches the Rfam family "Bacterial small subunit ribosomal RNA", at positions 524 to 768 of the family's 1533-position model. Lineage: Bacteria; Pseudomonadati; Spirochaetota; Spirochaetia; Spirochaetales; Spirochaetaceae. The record is from RNAcentral.